AGAACUAACAAAUUUGGGACAAAAUGUGUCCAUAAACUGUGAUCUUGAAGAAAAAGAGAUUUAUUGGAUGCUGCUACAACUACCAAAUCGUCCAGUUAUGAUAUUGCGGUUGUUUUCAACUUCGCCAACUCCUUUUUACUACGAUGCAAGUUUCAAAGCCAAAUAUUCAGUGCAACCUAAACAUCAUCUAUUUAUAAACAAUGUCACCCUUGAUGAGUUAGGCAUUUAUUACUGCAUGACCACAGAGGCACCUCCAAGAUUCAGCAACGGCACCAGACUUCACAUCACUGAACCAACUAAAUUACCUGAGUGCCAGAAUCACACUGUGGUGAAGUUUGUUGAGCAGAAUCAUACAGUGGUGAAUUUUACCGACCAAAUUCAGAGACCAUGGAUGAUUAUUGUUAUCUUAUCUGGUCUGAUACAUGGUGUUCUGGUCUUUGUGGUCAUUGGUAAGUUCUGUUCUUUAAUAUCAUUUAAAUUAAUUUAAUCUAUCUGUAAAAUAUGACCAUGAUUCUCUUCUCUUAUAGGUGUGUGUUGCUACUCUGGAGAAAAAUUAAAAAGACAAGAAGAAGAUUUAGAGGAGACUCAGUUCAUGCCUCUGGAAAAACUUCAAGAGACAAAGAUGAUGGUAAAUAAUGCAAAACCAUCUCUUUUUGGUUUACAUUGAUUUAAUUAUUCAUUACUUUAAAGAUUACUUU
Molecule: long non-coding RNA, 698 nt
Organism: Cyprinus carpio (common carp)
Lineage: Eukaryota; Metazoa; Chordata; Actinopteri; Cypriniformes; Cyprinidae
Source: Ensembl